UCCCUAACCAAAUCAUGUCGGUAUUUGAACCCCGGGAGCUCUCUACAAUGAACUGCAUGCUCACCAAAAGAAUCCAAACACGCCUUAUGACAAACUGGGCAUACCUCGUCAACUGGGAAUAAAGGAAUCAUGAGGCGAUACUUAAGGAUAGUACGGUACUGAUGUGUACUCCACCGGCGACAUAUGCUGGCCUAACCCAUCUACAGGUAUAG
Molecule: long non-coding RNA, 212 nt
Filed under: Helianthus annuus (common sunflower)
Lineage: Eukaryota; Viridiplantae; Streptophyta; Magnoliopsida; Asterales; Asteraceae
Description: sRNA HanXRQr2_Chr09g0383471
Source: RNAcentral